CUCAGGACGAACGCUGGCGGCGUGCCUAACACAUGCAAGUCGAGCGGAGAUUCAAGGAGCAGCUUGCUGCACUUUGAAUCUUAGCGGCGGACGGGUGAGUAACGCGUGGGUAAUCUGCCUCAAACAGGGGGAUAACACAGGGAAACUUGUGCUAAUACCGCAUAGACCCCAUCAUGGCAUCAUGAAGAGGUCAAAGGAGAAAUCCGGUUUGAGAUGAGCCCGCGUCUGAUUAGCUAGUUGGUGAGGUAACAGCUCACCAAGGCGACGAUCAGUAGCCGAACUGAGAGGUUGAUCGGCCACAUUGGGACUGAGACACGGCCCAGACUCCUACGGGAGGCAGCAGUGGGGAAUAUUGCACAAUGGGGGGAACCCUGAUGCAGCGACGCCGCGUGAAGGAAGAAGGCCUUCGGGUUGUAACUUCUUUGAUUGGGGACGAAUAA
This 440-nucleotide ribosomal RNA is filed under the name uncultured prokaryote. RNAcentral describes it as "bacterial SSU rRNA". It matches the Rfam family "Bacterial small subunit ribosomal RNA", at positions 23 to 452 of the family's 1533-position model. The record is from RNAcentral.